CGCACGCCUGUAGUCCCAGCUACU
Molecule: non-coding RNA, 24 nt
Filed under: Cricetulus griseus (Chinese hamster)
Lineage: Eukaryota; Metazoa; Chordata; Mammalia; Rodentia; Cricetidae
Also listed under: 1 other name
Source: RNAcentral